UUCCGGUUGAUGCUGCCGGAGGUCAUUGNUAUUGGAGUCCGAUUUAGCCAUGCUAGUCGUACGAGUUCAUACUCGUGGCGAAUAGCUCAGUAACACGUGGCCAAACUACCCUACAGAGAACAAUAACCUCGGGAAACUGAGGCUAAUGGUUCAUAUCGCUCGAUGCCUGGAAUUGGCUUGAGCAUGAAAUGCUUCCGCGCUGUAGGAUGUGGCUGCGGCCGAUUAGGUAGACGGUGGGGUAACGGCCCACCGUGCCGAUAAUCGGUGCGGGUUGUGAGAGCAAGAGCCCGGAGACGGUAUCUGAGACAAGAUACCGGGCCCUACGGGGCGCAGCAGGCGCGAAACCUUUACACUGCACGCCAGUGCGAUAAGGGGACUCCGAGUGCGAGGGCAUAUAGUCCUCGCUUUUCACCACCGUAAGGAGGUGGUAGAAUAAGUGCUGGGCAAGACCGGUGCCAGCCGCCGCGGUAAUACCGGCAGCACGAGUGAUGACCGCUAUUAUUGGGCCUAAAGCGUCCGUAGCUGGCCGUGCAAGUCUAUCGGGAAAUCUGUGUGCCUAACACACAGGCGUCCGGUGGAAACUGCACGGCUUGGGACCGGAAGACCAGAGGGGUACGUCUGGGGUAGGAGUGAAAUCCCGUAAUCCUGGACGGACCACCGGUGGCGAAAGCGCCUCUGGAAGACGGAUCCGACGGUGAGGGACGAAAGCUCGGGUCACGAACCGGAUUAGAUACCCGGGUAGUCCGAGCUGUAAACGAUGUCUGCUAGGUGUGACACAAACUACGAGUUUGCGUUGUGCCGUAGGGAAGCCGUGAAGCAGACCGCCUGGGAAGUACGUCCGCAAGGAUGAAACUUAAAGGAAUUGGCGGGGGAGCACUACAACCGGAGGAGCCUGCGGUUUAAUUGGAUUCAACGCCGGA
Molecule: ribosomal RNA, 920 nt
Filed under: uncultured archaeon
Lineage: Archaea
Description: bacterial SSU rRNA
Rfam family: Archaeal small subunit ribosomal RNA
Source: RNAcentral